UACAGAGGGUGCGAGCGUUAAUCGGAAUUACUGGGCGUAAAGCGCACGUAGGUGGCUGAGUCAGUCGAUUGUGAAAGCCCUGGGCUUAACCUGGGAAUUGCAGUCGAUACUACUCAGCUAGAGUAUGGGAGAGGGCAGUGGAAUUCCCGGUGUAGCGGUGAAAUGCGUAGAUAUCGGGAAGAACACCCGUGGCGAAGGCGGUUCUCUGGGACGGUACUGACGCUGAGACGCGAAAGCGUGGGGAGCGAACAGG
Molecule: ribosomal RNA, 253 nt
Filed under: uncultured bacterium
Lineage: Bacteria
Description: partial 16S ribosomal RNA
Rfam family: Bacterial small subunit ribosomal RNA
Source: RNAcentral